GGGGGUAUAGCUCAGUUGGUAGAGCAUCGGCCUUUUAAGCCGCUGGUCGCAGGUUCGAAUCCUGCUGCCCCCACCA
This 76-nucleotide transfer RNA is filed under the name Gammaproteobacteria bacterium TMED78. Its description in RNAcentral is "tRNA-Lys". It matches the Rfam family "tRNA". From Rfam's summary of the family: Transfer RNA (tRNA) molecules are approximately 80 nucleotides in length. Lineage: Bacteria; Pseudomonadati; Pseudomonadota; Gammaproteobacteria. The record is from RNAcentral.